CAGAGUUAGGUUGGGUAGAUUUAUUUGUAAUAAAUGAAACACAAGGGGAUGAAUGUAAUAAGAGCAGACGCUAGGGUCGUGGAUAUAAAUUUCCCUUUAUUUUUUAUUUAUUUAUUUAUUUUUUUUUAAGUUUCCUUUAUCGGUUAUAAAUACAUUUUUUUAGACUAAUUUAUAUCCCCUCCCUUGAACUUUACUCUUAUUAUAUUCCUUUCUCAGUAUUUUUAAAAGUUACAUUCACGUCCCGUUAAAUGACGUUGUUAGUGUGGUGUUAAUUUAGAAUUAGGAAAAUUUACAUUCAUCACCCCUCAUGUUUACACUAAUUACAUCAUCCCCUCACGUUUCAUUUUUCAUAUUUAAACCAAAAAAUUUCACACCGUGAUUGGGGUGUUAGUUUUUUUAAAAUGAAAAGACAUUUUUACCAUUGAAUUAAAAAUCCUAAGUCUAUCCUUUCCUUGCGACAUCUUCAAACCUAAAAUCCCUAAAUUCCAAAAUCAUAGGUUGGUGCAUUUUCUGGCGAAGUGAGGAGAAAUCCGGCGCAGUGAGUGAUGAUGAUGGUGAUGGUGAUGCCGCGACGGAGGAGGAGGAGGCGUGUAAGGUGGAGCAUCGGUAUGGUGUGGCCUUUCGACAUGAAAGGGAAGAUCACAAUAUGCAAAGAUGAAUUAGAAGACAUCUUCCUCUUCUUCUUGGUUUCUCUAGUUCCCCUUCCUUUCUGGCUUCUGGUGCUCUGUUUUGCUAUAUACUCUGCUAAAGCUAUUCCAUGCUUACAUGCUCAGGUUACCCACUAAAGCUGUAUUACGAACAACAAUGGGAUUAUAACAUAUCGUCCUCAAGCCGGUUUAGUGUCUCUGACAGGUUGAGGGAUUUUAGGUUUGAGACCUCCGCCGCCGCAGUUCUCUUUCACACGCUGGCCUUCUUGCCACGCGCCACCCACCGCCGUCUCCAGACAUGGCAACUCAUUAUCUGCCUGGGCUCUUCCGACCGCUCCGUUGAUUCUUCCCUCGCCACCGAUCUCGGCCUUCGCCUCAUCCACGUAGAUGCAUAGUGUGCGGAAGAGAUCGCCGACACCGUCAUGGCUCUCUUCCUUGGCUUGCUUCGCCGGACUCACUUACUUUCUCGCCACGCAUUCUUGGCGAUCUGAUCUUAUGCCAAUAUCGGUCUGUUUGAUCUGAUUCUUAUUGAAUCCGUCUUUUAUUAUUAUUGAUCUGAUUCGCGUUUCCCUUUGCUUCGCCGGAUUAUGAUUUGGGGAUUUAGGGAUUUAGGGAUUUUCGGAUUGAAGAUGUCAUAAGGAUAAAAUGGUCUUUACACUUAGGAUUUUUGGUUCAAGGAGAAAAUACCUAUUUUGCCGUCGUGUCUUCUCGUACCAUUUUCCCCCGAAUUGAAGAGAGAUUAGGGUAUGAGAAAAUCUGAAUGAGGUAUUCAUCAUCUCUGACGAAGGUGAGUUGAUAAUCAAGAAACGGCUGUGACGACGGCGACGACGACAACCUCGAAGUCUUCAUCAAGUCUGGCCGUCCCAAGGACCGCAUCUACCCCGGUAGGCUUCCCCAGCCAAUGCCUCUGCAAGUGGGUCAUGGAUCACAUGCUUCCACAAGGCUCUUCCUGUCGCCGUCUAGCAUGCGGUGCGCUGGAGGGAGUCCCACUCAUUGUUGAUGGUUGCCUGAAUUGCUCUAACUAUAUCAGUCAACAGCAAGUUUGAGAGUUGCAACUCUGACCAUGCCAAGUCCUCCUGUGAUUGUCCAUUCUCUUUUCCAGACAUAAUGUUCCAUAAUGGCAUCGAACUUGCAACCCAAAUUCUAAAUGGCUUCACAGAGCUAAGAAGCCAAAGAAGGGAUGGAGAAGGUAAUGCCUCCACUCCCAAUUGUCAAAAAAAAAAAUUCACGGAUUCUGUUGAACUAUAGCUUCAUUGGCCACUACAACAAAGCUCUGAAAUUCGAGGGACUAAGGGAAAGACGAAAGAUGAAACACUGAAUAGAAGAAAGUAGAGUAUAUGUCACUUGCCGAUGAACCGCAAGAGCAAAGAAGGUUUGACGGUCUUGGCAGCACCAGAGUGUUGUUUGCCGUUUGUUGUUGCCGUUCGUUGUUUGGUGUUUAGCAUUCACUGUUGGCCGUUCUCCGUUCACCAUCCGGAUGUAUGGGUUUUGUUUC
This is a long non-coding RNA of Macadamia integrifolia, 2142 nucleotides long. RefSeq lists it as uncharacterized. NCBI's taxonomy places the organism in Eukaryota, Viridiplantae, Streptophyta, Magnoliopsida, Proteales, Proteaceae. The transcript has 2 exons. The record is from RefSeq and is a predicted model, not a curated record.